AGUACAUUUUGAAAGGUUGUAUUCUGAAGAGCCUGAAUUGAAAAUUGAAUCAGAGAACAAGCCAGAAGUCAUUUAUAUAUCAUCUGAUAGUGAAACUGAAGAUCUGCCAAAGGAUGAAUUAUUUGCAGGAAGUGUUUUAAUGAAAAAAGAAAAACAAGAACAGUGUGAAGAAACAGCUGACAGUUUCCUUGGUCUAAGCAAGCAUGGAAAAUCUAAAAAA
Non-coding RNA from Thamnophis sirtalis, 220 nucleotides. Lineage: Eukaryota; Metazoa; Chordata; Lepidosauria; Squamata; Natricidae. The record is from RefSeq and is a predicted model, not a curated record.